GGAAGAAAAUGACUGUACCCGAAUAAGAAGGUCCGGCUAACUUCGUGCCAGCAGCCGCGGUAAUACGAAGGGACCUAGCGUAGUUCGGAAUUACUGGGCUUAAAGAGUUCGUAGGUGGUUGAAAAAGUUGGUGGUGAAAUCCCAGAGCUUAACUCUGGAACUGCCAUCAAAACUUUUCAGCUAGAGUUUGAUAGAGGAAAGCAGAAUUUCUAGUGUAGAGGUGAAAUUCGUAGAUAUUAGAAAGAAUACCAAUUGCGAAGGCAGCUUUCUGGAUCAUUACUGACACUGAGGAACGAAAGCAUGGGUAGCGAAGAGGAUUAGAUACCCUCGUAGUCCAUGCCGUAAACGAUGUGUGUUAGACGUUGGAAAUUUAUUUUCAGUGUCGCAGCGAAAGCGAUAAACACACCGCCUGGGGAGUACGACCGCAAGGUUAAAACUCAAAUGAAUUGACGGGGACCCGCACAAGUAGUGGAGCAUGUGGUUUAAUUCGAAGAUACGCGCAGAACCUUACCAACACUUGACAUGUUCGUCGCGACUUUAAGAGAUUAAAGUUUUCGGUUCGGCCGGACGAAACACAGGUGCUGCAUGGCUGUCGUCAGCUCGUGUCGUGAGAUGUUGGGUUAAGUCCCGCAACGAGCGCAACCCUCACUUUUAGUUGCCAUCAUUAAGUUGGGCACUCUGAAAGAACUGCCAGUGAUAAGCUGGAGGAAGGUGGGGAUGACGUCAAGUCCUCAUGGCCCUUACGUGUUGGGCUACACACGUGCUACAAUGGUAUCUACAACAGGAAGCAAAACGGCAACGUUAAGCAAAUCCUCAAAAGAUACCUCAGUUCGGAUUGCACUCUGCAACUCGAGUGCAUGAAGCUGGAAUUACUAGUAAUCGUGGAUCAGCGUGCCACGGUGA
This 903-nucleotide ribosomal RNA is filed under the name marine metagenome. RNAcentral's name for it is "bacterial SSU rRNA". It matches the Rfam family "Bacterial small subunit ribosomal RNA", at positions 443 to 1365 of the family's 1533-position model. The record is from RNAcentral.